UGCUGUCCCGGUAAUCCCAUUUAGACAGUUAAAGAAUCCGCUUCAGUCAGCAGGUGAGGCAGCGCGUGCGGAUCAGGUUCCCUGCUGAGAUGGCCGGACGGGACCGAGUCGUUCACCUGCUCACACAGCUCGCGAGCGCGGCGUGCAGAUGUCCCGCUCACUCCAACACCUUCCACCAAGGUGUUGGAGCUGCAUCCUGCUCCAACAGGAAGACCGACUACGCCUUCGAGGUAACACACAC
Long non-coding RNA from Etheostoma cragini (Arkansas darter), 241 nucleotides. RefSeq lists it as uncharacterized. Lineage: Eukaryota; Metazoa; Chordata; Actinopteri; Perciformes; Percidae. The transcript is spliced from 3 exons. The record is from RefSeq and is a predicted model, not a curated record.